GUUUUGGGGAAAGUUUGGGAGUUUUGGGGUAUUUGCUGACCCAGGGUUUUUUGGGGUGAUUUUGGGGUUUUUGGGGUAUUCACUGACCCAGGGUUAUUUUGGGGCACUUUUGGGGUUUUUUUGGUAUUUACUGACUGAGGGUUGUUUUGGGGUGGCUUUGGGGUUUUGGGAUAUUUGCUGACCCUGGGAUUGGUUUCUUUGGGGCAAUUUGGGGUUUUUUUGGAGGCAUUUGCUGACCCUGGAGAAUUUUUGGGGUGGUUUUGAGGUUUUGGGGUAUUCACUGACACUGGGGCUUUUGUUUGGGCUGGUUUUGGCAUUUUUGGGUAUUUGCUGACUAAGGUGUUUUUUGGGGUGGUUUUGGGAUUUUGGGGGUGUUCACUGACCCUGGGUUGUUUUGGGGUGAUUUUUGUGGGUUUUGGGAUAUUUGCUGACCCAGCGUUUUUUUUGCAUGGGGGUUCUCGCCCCCAGCUCAGUUCGAGUUCCUCCCAUUGGUCAUUGGUGGCAUCGUGGGUGUGGCCUUGCUGCUCCUGGGGUUCCUAUUGGCUGCUUGGCUGUGCCGGAGGAAGAGGGGAGGUUCCCGCUGGCGGGGACUGAGCCCCGGCGACGACACCGGCACCAUCCCCAUGGGGGACUACGAGGCGGCCGCCUGAGCUGGGCCACGCCCACCAAGAUGGCCGCCGUGCACCCAGACCGCGCCCCCAAGAUGGCCAACGAGUCACAGACUGCCCUUCCAAACGAUGCUGAGACCAUGCCCCCAAGAUGGCCAACAACUCAUGGACCACGCCCCCAAAUUAUUCCGAAAUCCCCACCUUAAAAUGGCCGACAGCUCACAGGCCACGCCCCCAAAUCAUGCUGUGGCUACACCUCCAAGAUGGCCGACAACCACAAACCACGCCCCAAUAUCCUGUGACCACGCCCCAAAACGGCCGACAAGUUCCAGACCACGCCCUUGAAUGAUUCUGAGACCACGCCCCAAAAUGGCCGACAAGUCACAGACCACGCCCCAAAAUGGCCGAUGCCUCUCAGACCAUGCCCCCAAAAUGGCUGACAAGUCACAGACCACACCCCAAAAUGGCUGACACCUCCAAGACCACACCCCAAAAUGGCCGACACCUCUCAGGCCACGCCCCCAAAAUGGCUGACAAAAUAAAGCCACACCCCAAGAUGGCGGCUGAGCCCCC
Chloebia gouldiae (Gouldian finch) is the source of this 1181-nucleotide long non-coding RNA. The record is from Ensembl. Lineage: Eukaryota; Metazoa; Chordata; Aves; Passeriformes; Passeridae.